RNAcentral lists this ribosomal RNA (253 nucleotides) under uncultured bacterium. RNAcentral's name for it is "partial 16S ribosomal RNA". It matches the Rfam family "Bacterial small subunit ribosomal RNA", at positions 524 to 776 of the family's 1533-position model. The record is from RNAcentral.
UACGAAGGGGGCUAGCGUUGCUCGGAAUCACUGGGCGUAAAGCGCACGUAGGCGGAUUCUUAAGUCGGUGGUGAAAUCCUGGAGCUCAACUCCAGAACUGCCUUCGAUACUGAGAGUCUUGAGUUCGGGAGAGGUGAGUGGAACUGCGAGUGUAGAGGUGAAAUUCGUAGAUAUUCGCAAGAACACCAGUGGCGAAGGCGGCUCACUGGCCCGGUACUGACGCUGAGGUGCGAAAGCGUGGGGAGCAAACAGG